GCCUGUGUGGCGGAAUUGGUAGACGCGCUGGACUCAAAAUCCAGUGGUAGCGAUAUCGUGUGGGUUCGAGUCCCACCACAGGCACCA
This 87-nucleotide transfer RNA is filed under the name Coprobacillus sp. CAG:605. RNAcentral's name for it is "transfer RNA-Leu(CAA)". It matches the Rfam family "tRNA". Rfam says of the family: Transfer RNA (tRNA) molecules are approximately 80 nucleotides in length. Their secondary structure includes four short double-helical elements and three loops (D, anti-codon, and T loops). The record is from RNAcentral. Lineage: Bacteria; Bacillati; Bacillota; Erysipelotrichia; Erysipelotrichales; Coprobacillaceae. RNAcentral also lists the same sequence under 1 other name.